GACAGAGGAGCCAAGCGUUGUCCGGAUUGACUGGGCGUAAAGCGCACGCAGGCGGCUUGGCGCGUGGGGUGUGAAAGCUCUUGGCUUAACUAAGAGAGGCCAUCCCAUACGGCUAAGCUCGAGCCAUGCAGAGGUCCGCGGAAUUGCCGGUGUAGUGGUGAAAUGCGUAGAGAUCGGCAGGAACACCCAGGGGGAAACCAGCGGACUGGGCAUGCGCUGACGCUCAGGUGCGACAGCGUGGGGAGCGAACAGG
RNAcentral lists this ribosomal RNA (253 nucleotides) under uncultured bacterium. Its description in RNAcentral is "partial 16S ribosomal RNA". It matches the Rfam family "Bacterial small subunit ribosomal RNA", at positions 524 to 776 of the family's 1533-position model. The record is from RNAcentral.